GAAUAUUGGUCAAUGGGUGAGAGCCUGAACCAGCCAUGCCGCGUGCAGGAUGACAGCCUUCUGGGUUGUAAACUGCUUUUGUCAGGGAAGAAAAAGGUCAUGCGUGAUCAAUUGCCGGUACCUGAUGAAUAAGCACCGGCUACCUCCGUGCCAGCAGCCGCGGUAAUACGGUGGGUGCAAGCGUUGUCCGGUUUUAUUGGGUUUAAAGGGUGCGUAGGCGGGCCUUUAAGUCAGUGGUGAAAGCCCAUCGCUUAACGAUGGAACUGCCAUUGAUACUGGGGGCCUUGAGUUCAGUUGAGGUAGGCGGAAUUUAUGGUGUAGCGGUGAAAUGCAUAGAUACCAUAAAGAACACCAAUUGCGGAGGCAGCUUACUGGGCUUGAACUGACGCUGAGGCACGAAAGCGUGGGGAUCGAACAGGA
Molecule: ribosomal RNA, 420 nt
Filed under: uncultured bacterium
Lineage: Bacteria
Description: bacterial SSU rRNA
Rfam family: Bacterial small subunit ribosomal RNA
Source: RNAcentral